AUUUAAAUAGCUUAUAGAGCGUAAUAUUGAAGAUAUUAAGGUGAUUUAUUUAAAUCUUUAAAUA
Molecule: transfer RNA, 64 nt
Filed under: Tychus niger
Lineage: Eukaryota; Metazoa; Arthropoda; Insecta; Coleoptera; Staphylinidae
Description: tRNA-Phe
Source: RNAcentral